AGUGAACGCUGGCGGUAGGCCUAACACAUGCAAGUCGAACGGCAGCACAGUAAGAGCUUGCUCUUACGGGUGGCGAGUGGCGGACGGGUGAGGAAUACAUCGGAAUCUACUUUUUCGUGGGGGAUAACGUAGGGAAGCUUACGCUAAUACCGCAUACGACCUACGGGUGAAAGCAGGGGAUCUUCGGACCUUGCGCGAUUGAAUGAGCCGAUGUCGGAUUAGCUAGUUGGCGGGGUAAAGGCCCACCAAGGCGACGAUCCGUAGCUGGUCUGAGAGGAUGAUCCGCCCCACUGGAACUGAGACACGGUCCAGACUCCUACGGGAGGCCGCAGUGGGGACUAUUGGACACUGGGCGCAAGCCUGAUCCAGCCAUACCGCGUGGGUGAAGAAGGCCUUCGGGUUGUAAAGCCCUUUUGUUGGGAAAGAAAAGCAGCAGGUUAAUACCCCGCUGUUCUGACGGUACCCAAAGAAUAAGCACCGGCUAACUUCGUG
Molecule: ribosomal RNA, 492 nt
Filed under: uncultured bacterium
Lineage: Bacteria
Description: partial 16S ribosomal RNA
Rfam family: Bacterial small subunit ribosomal RNA
Source: RNAcentral